AAGUCGUAACAAGGCCUCCGUAGGUGAACCUGCGGAAGGAUCAUUCAUAAUAAAAGUGUUUUAUGGCGCUUUUCAAACUAAUCCAUAUCCACCUUGUGUGUAAUGGUUAUUUUUUAAAAUAAACACUUUAUUUUUUAAAAUAAACACUUUAUUUUUUAAAAUAAACACUUUAUUUUUUAAAAUAAACACUUUAUUUUUUAAAAUAAACACUUCAUUUUUUAAAAUAAACACUUUAUUUUUUAAUUGCCAAUUUCUUUAAAGAUUAGUAUUAUUAUGAAUUAACUUAAUUUAAAAUAUAACUUGCAACAACGGAUCUCUUGGCUCUC
RNAcentral lists this unclassified non-coding RNA (326 nucleotides) under fungal sp. Its description in RNAcentral is "partial internal transcribed spacer region". The stretch from base 1 to 46 matches the Rfam family "Eukaryotic small subunit ribosomal RNA", at positions 1786 to 1831 of the family's 1831-position model. The record is from RNAcentral. Lineage: Eukaryota; Fungi.